GUCGAAGCCUCGGGUAUCAGAGGACCGUCACUACUGGUAGCAUCUCUGGCUGCUGUUGACCUUGUUUUCGGAGUAAAACACGGUGGAAGCUGAAUUAGUGAGGAUGACUCCUGCUCCUGUCAUCUCUAAGCUCCUCACACAUCUUUACCUGCACAUGAGGAAAAUCACUCCUGUAGAAUGCAGAUGUUCAGAGGGAGAUGAUGCCACAUCUGGUCCAGCUGAUGGAAGGUCUUGAAGUUGUCUGACUGGCCUCAACUGAAGAUGGUCGUCUCACUGGAUUUAAGGUUCAGAUGCUCAGUAACAAACUCCACCAAUGAGCCAACAGGGAAGCUUUAGGUUUAUUAAAUGUUGCUAUGAAGGUUUCGCUGUUUUUCUUUGUGAAUGCAAUGUGCUCCAACUGAAACUUGAAUUAGAACUUAGAAGUAAAUCCUUCCAUCUGAAAGGAUCUAGUUGCAUUAAUAACCUCAUAGCAUUCAAAUUUUUAUUUCAGUCUUGGCUGGAAAUAGAAUCUCUGUAUUGAUUCAGGUAAAAACUGAACUUCACAGCAUGUUGAAGCAAAACAACCAGAUGAAAACUGUGAUGGUGUUGGAUUGUCAGACCGUAAUGUUGCAGCUCAAAGCAGCUUUUCAAGCUCAGUUCAUUCUGACAUUCAGCUAUGAAUCAACACAGCAAAUGGUGAUCCAUGCUGUGGAAGUCUCACAUCUCCUCAUUUAAUGGAGCUGCUUUGCACUUUUUACACUGUUUAUUCACCAACACUUUAUUUAAUAAAAGUCUCAUCUAGUUUUUAUGAGGAAUGUGAUGUUUUAAUUUCUCUGUGAAUAACUGCAGUCUAAUGCAACAGCUGGAGUUGUAACAUCUGUCCUGAUAUUGAUCAUGAAAUUUUUAUCAGAAUACUUAUGGUCAGCAGUCAUCCCUGAAGUUUUACAUUAAAAUCUUUACUUGUGUUGUGAACUUUGGUAAGAAGCAGAAACUUUUGCGUUGCCAUGGAUACAUGAGUGUUAAAUUCUGUCCAUGAUUCCAUUUUGGGAAAUGCAGUCCAGUUCCAGAAUGUGGAGGAAUUUAGUCUCACAAUCACAGACAACAAAUAUUAUCUGAAAGUCGGGUUAUUGUUGUUUACCAGCACAAUACAAAAAGAUUAAUGUUAGAAAUAUUCCAGUUAAGAAUAUCAUGAUUUAUGUAAAUUUACCUCAAUAAUAUGAAUGUUCAGGUUAAGAUUGUACAGUGAUAUUUAUUAUGCAAGUUUAGCUGAUUAAAGUUUAUGACUCUGCACUAAAAUAUUAUUUAAAUUGACAUCAUUAUUAUAAUAUUUAGGGUCAGACCCUACAGUAUUGAGAUUAAGAAAUCAAAUAUUCUGUAAAAUGUAAAUACACUGAACUCAUUUGGAUAUAUUUAAGUGAGACUCUACAAUAUUAUGUGACACAAAUCUAUCUAAAUCAAAAUUUUAAUAAUUUUCACACCAAACAUUUACUGGACUGAUUUAAACAUUAAAAUCACUCCUUUCUAAUCCUCUGCUGUACGUUCAAACCUGAGGCCUGAAAUAGAAACACACAAGUAUCUGAUUGAAGGAACUUCUGCAGAGUCCUGGUUCCAGAACAUGAUAGAAUUAUAGACAAACUUUAACAAAAGCUGCCUGAGAGUUUACAGGUUUUUAUGUUGGAUUUCUUCAGUAAUUUAAUGAGCGUUAUCAGCAAUAAUCAAGUGUUCAUUUGAAGAACUUAAUUUCCUAAAACAUACAGAAUUGAAGCUCAUAUCUUUGGCAGCUGUAAAGUUUCUGCUCCUUCAAAGAUCACAACACAAUGAAUGAAUUCCUAAAACACUCUCAAUGCUGGAGAGCGUUUGUGAUGCUGAAGCAGUGACCAGUUUUUCUGUUUCUUCUCUGGAGAUGCACAAUGAGGGACGUCUGCAGAGACUGAGAAAGAGUCUCACCACAUCCUGACAUGAGGAAAAAGACUUUAUUGAAGACUACAAUGAGAAAAACUAUCAGACAGCAGACGGCUGCAUUCAAGAGAAGAAGAUCAUCAAACAUCCAUGUCAGCUGAUGGACGUCCAAGAGUCUCACCCAACAAACAACCUACAGAGUGAAGACCUCAAAUCUGAUUGGACGGCCUCCUAUUCAGCCACAUGUGUGAACAAAUGCCUCUAAGUUGAUUUGUUUUCUAAAAUAAAUCUAGUUUGAGUCCUAAUCUAUACCUGAGUGUUUGCUUCUUUA
Long non-coding RNA from Amphiprion ocellaris (clown anemonefish), 2209 nucleotides. Lineage: Eukaryota; Metazoa; Chordata; Actinopteri; Pomacentridae. The record is from Ensembl.